RNAcentral lists this RNase P RNA (344 nucleotides) under Candidatus Saccharimonadota bacterium. RNAcentral describes it as "RNase P RNA component class A". It matches the Rfam family "Bacterial RNase P class A". From Rfam's summary of the family: Ribonuclease P (RNase P) is a ubiquitous endoribonuclease, found in archaea, bacteria and eukarya as well as chloroplasts and mitochondria. Its best characterised activity is the generation of mature 5'-ends of tRNAs by cleaving the 5'-leader elements of precursor-tRNAs. Lineage: Bacteria; Candidatus Saccharimonadota. The record is from RNAcentral.
UAAGCUCAAAAGGCAGUCGCUUGGGUUACCCAAGAGGAAAGUCCGGGCAGCAUAGGACAAGGUAGUCGUUAACGGCGACCGUUCGAGAUUAUAGCUGCGGCUGUAGUUUAAGAAUAGGGAAAGUACCACAGAAACAAAACUACCGUAAGGUAAAGGUGAAAAGAGUGAGGUAAGAGCUCACAGCGAUCUAUGGUGACAUAGGUCGGAGGCAAACCCUACCUGCUGCAAGGAGUGCUAUCAACCUUAGUCCGAGGAUGCACGCUCACCGCUCGAGCCUUCUGGCAACAGAAGGACUAGAUAGAUGAUUGCCCACGACAGAACCCGGCUUAUAGAGAGCUUACAUG